Stomoxys calcitrans (stable fly) is the source of this 45-nucleotide non-coding RNA. The record is from Rfam. NCBI's taxonomy places the organism in Eukaryota, Metazoa, Arthropoda, Insecta, Diptera, Muscidae.
CCUAUGGUUCUUUUCAGACCCACCUACACAAUCUGGAAAAAUUUC